GGCGAAGGAUGCAAGCGUUAUCCGGAUUCAUUGGGUUUAAAGGGAGCGUAGGUGGUCUUAUAAGUCAGUGGUGAAAUCUCUGGGCUUAACCCAGAAAUUGCCAUUGAUACUGUAGGACUUGAGUAUAGUUGCCGUUGGCGGAAUAUGACAUGUAGUGGUGAAAUACAUAGAGAUGUCAUAGAACACCGAUUGCGAAGGCAGCUGACGAAACUAUAACUGACACUGAGGCUCGAAAGUGCGGGGAUCAAACAGG
This 253-nucleotide ribosomal RNA is filed under the name uncultured bacterium. Its description in RNAcentral is "partial 16S ribosomal RNA". It matches the Rfam family "Bacterial small subunit ribosomal RNA", at positions 524 to 776 of the family's 1533-position model. The record is from RNAcentral.